RNAcentral lists this ribosomal RNA (598 nucleotides) under Curvularia lunata. RNAcentral describes it as "partial 18S ribosomal RNA". The stretch from base 221 to 374 matches the Rfam family "5.8S ribosomal RNA". The record is from RNAcentral. Lineage: Eukaryota; Fungi; Ascomycota; Dothideomycetes; Pleosporales; Pleosporaceae.
UCCGUAGGUGAACCUGCGGAGGGAUCAUUACACAAUAAAAUAUGAAGGCUGUACGCGGCUGUGCUCUCGGGCCAGUUUUGCGGAGGCUGAAUUAUUUAUUACCCUUGUCUUUUGCGCACUUGUUGUUUCCUGGGCGGGUUCGCCCGCCACCAGGACCACAUCAUAAACCUUUUUUAUGCAGUUGCAAUCAGCGUCAGUAUAACAAAUGUAAAUCAUUUACAACUUUCAACAACGGAUCUCUUGGUUCUGGCAUCGAUGAAGAACGCAGCGAAAUGCGAUACGUAGUGUGAAUUGCAGUAUUCAGUGAAUCAUCGAAUCUUUGAACGCACAUUGCGCCCUUCGGUAUUCCAAAGGGCAUGCCUGUUCGAGCGUCAUUUGUACCCUCAAGCUUUGCUUGGUGUUGGGCGUUUUUUGUCUUUGGUUGCCAAAGACUCGCCUUAAAAGGAUUGGCAGCCGGCCUACUGGUUUCGCAGGCAGCACAUUUUUGCGCUUGCAACCAGCAAAAGAGGACGGCAAUCCAUCAAGACUCCUUCUCACGUUUGACCUCGGAUCAGGUAGGGAUACCCGCUGAACUUAAGCAUAUCAAUAAGCGGAGGAA